This 253-nucleotide ribosomal RNA is filed under the name uncultured bacterium. RNAcentral describes it as "partial 16S ribosomal RNA". It matches the Rfam family "Bacterial small subunit ribosomal RNA", at positions 524 to 776 of the family's 1533-position model. The record is from RNAcentral.
UACGGGGGGGGCAAGCGUUGUUCGGAAUUACUGGGCGUAAAGGGCUCGUAGGCGGCCAACUAAGUCGGACGUGAAAUCCCUCGGCUUAACCGGGGAACUGCGUCCGAUACUGGAUGGCUUGAGUUUGGGAGAGGGAUGCGGAAUUCCAGGUGUAGCGGUGAAAUGCGUAGAUAUCCGGAGGAACACCAGCGGCGAAGGCGGCUUUCUGGUCUGAUACUGACGCUGAGGCGCGAAAGCGUGGGGAGCGAUCCGG